GUGUGUGGUACCCUACUCUGGAGAGCAGCAAUCACAUACAAUUAAGUAUGAUUGAAGCCUCUGGGAGUAGAGUAAUGCAUGA
RNAcentral lists this microRNA precursor (82 nucleotides) under Tupaia belangeri chinensis (Chinese tree shrew). Lineage: Eukaryota; Metazoa; Chordata; Mammalia; Scandentia; Tupaiidae. The record is from RNAcentral.